Molecule: unclassified non-coding RNA, 292 nt
Filed under: Hevea brasiliensis (rubber tree)
Lineage: Eukaryota; Viridiplantae; Streptophyta; Magnoliopsida; Malpighiales; Euphorbiaceae
Source: RNAcentral
UGAGACUUGAAUUGAACUAGAAACUUCUAAAUUGGUUUUGGGUCAAAUGAAAAUUUUUUAAUUUAAGAACUAAAAAUUGAAUCAUUGAAUUAAAAUCAUAUUAAAUUAAAUUGAAUUAAAAUUUGAAUCAAAAUUAAAACUAAAAUGGUAAAAGAGUUUAAGGACUAGUUCAGAUUCACCCUUUUAAUAAACUGAAUAGAUGGUCAGACGAAUAUGGCAACCAAAUUCGCCCAACCGACGACUAUGGCAAUCCAAUCCAUCAAACAGGUGCCACUGGCACUGGGACAUAUGG